RNAcentral lists this ribosomal RNA (335 nucleotides) under uncultured eukaryote. Its description in RNAcentral is "partial 18S ribosomal RNA". It matches the Rfam family "Eukaryotic small subunit ribosomal RNA", at positions 1470 to 1796 of the family's 1831-position model. The record is from RNAcentral.
CCCUUAGAUGUUCGGGGCCGCACGCGCGCUACACUGAAGGACUCAGCGUGUCUCUCCCCCUAUCCCGAAAGGGAUGGGCAACCCGUUGAACCUCCUUCGUGCUAGGGAUUGGGGUUUGCAAUUAUCCCCCAUGAACGAGGAAUUCCCAGUAAGCGCGAGUCAUCAGCUCGCGCUGAUUACGUCCCUGCCCUUUGUACACACCGCCCGUCGCUACUACCGAUUGGAUGGUUUAGCGAGAACUUUGGACCGGAGCUCGGGUGGUCAGCAAUGGCCGCCCGAGACAUACUGGGAAAUCGCUCCAGCUUGAUCAUCUAGAGGAAGUAAAAGUCGUAACA